UUAUCUGGGGCCAUGAUUUUAAAAUACCCACACACUAUCUGAUUCCAACCCUAAUUGAAGAAAUAACGCGCUGCCGCAUACACUGUUUCUGUAAGGAUCUACUCCGGCGCGAUCUGCUCCAGCGACAACUCUCUCCACCAAGGAUCCCCUCAGCCGCGUUCUCCUCCGACUAGAAUCUCCUCACCGUUCACCGCCAUCGUUCAUCUCCUCGCCGCUGCCUUCAAUGAGCUUCUACGAUCUUGUUCUGGCUUCGAUCUAAAGGUUAGCCAUCGCCACUCAUCUCCUUUGCUGCUUCAUUUAUCACCUCGCCGCCGCAAGCAACAUUGUUGCUGCUUUAGCGAGCUUCGACAAAUCUCUUCACUUUUGUGAUUACGUCCUUGCUCUCACCGUCGAGAACUUCCUCGAGCGCCACCUCCAGACUCUCGUCUUCAAUCCCAGCAUGGCCAAGUCAAUCCACCACGCCAGGUUCUGAUCCGCCAGCGCCACAUUAGAACUUGCUAAAAAAGUUCCACAAGGGUCAUCCAAAAGUCAGAACUCAGAUUAGCAUUGCUGUGGCUGCAUUGGCUGUGCAUGUGCCUGCUGAAGAUUGGGGAGAUGGUGGUAUAGUGAAAUGGCUUAGGGACGAGAUGGAUUCUCAUCCGGAAUAUAUACCAGGAUUCUUGGAGUUACUAACAGUUUUGCCAGAGGUCAUAGUAUGAUAUGUGUGAUUAUGUGUCAUCUCUUCAUUUUAUUAAUGAGACAAAUGCCUAAAGUUUGAGUUACUAAGUGACAAGUUGUUAUAAUUUUCAAAGUUGCUGCCUUGUCGGAUAGUAUUUUUUUCUUGGUUAUCAUUCAGGUUCUUGAAGCGUUUGCUUUGUGGCUUCGCCUAAAGCAUGGGAUUCCCGGAUCUGUUCUCAGUACCCAUCCAUUAGUUCUUACAGCAUUAUCAAGCUUGAAUUCUGAGUUUCUUUCUGAGGCAUCUGUAAAUGCCAAAACAGGAAAUUAAAGGGGAUCUUGAUCAUGGUAAGAGGGUAUUGCAGUGCUCUUAACAAAAUCUAACCUAAUGCCAUACCCAAGUCAAGGAUGUGGUCUUGAAAUUGAACCUGCUUCUCACAAAAGAACAAGCUAUUGGUUUCCGUUGCUGCUGGAGUCAAGCUCCAUGAUCUUCAAGUUUCUUAAUGCAUUAGUUGGUUUUGGACUAUUUGACAGAGGAUUCCUUGUGUUACAUAUAACACCAGCCCCACUUACUGCAUUAUUAAUAGUGAAAUUCACAAUUAUUUUCUCAUCACUAAUAUAGUUUAGUAUAUUAUUCUGAAUCUGAACUAUUUGUGUUAGGUUGGGAGCUGAGUUGAAAUUGGAAUUCCCAUGCUAAUACUGUUUAUAGCCUUAUCUCAGAGAUUGGAUCAGGAGAUUGAGAUUCCAUCACCAAAAGAGUUAGGAAGUAGAUUUUCUGGAGCAAGCAACAAGGAAGCAUGACCUUGUUUGAUAUGUUUAGACGUAUAUUAAGGAGUAUAUUAAGGAUUAUAUGUUAAGACGUAUUAUUAAAAAAUGUUACUUUGAUACUUUAUUUUUGGAUUAUGACUUUUGGAUCAUGUAUGAAUAAAAAAUCAUGUUAUGAUGUUUGAUUUAUGGCUGUGCCUUUUGGUUAUUACAAGAUUUUUAAGUGAGUUUCGAAAA
Arachis stenosperma is the source of this 1656-nucleotide long non-coding RNA. RefSeq lists it as uncharacterized. The record is from RefSeq and is a predicted model, not a curated record. The transcript is spliced from 7 exons. NCBI's taxonomy places the organism in Eukaryota, Viridiplantae, Streptophyta, Magnoliopsida, Fabales, Fabaceae.